This 447-nucleotide ribosomal RNA is filed under the name uncultured bacterium. RNAcentral describes it as "bacterial SSU rRNA". It matches the Rfam family "Bacterial small subunit ribosomal RNA", at positions 329 to 793 of the family's 1533-position model. The record is from RNAcentral.
UUCCAGACUCCUACGGGAGGCAGCAGUGGGGAAUAUUGCACAAUGGGGGAAACCCUGAUGCAGCGACGCCGCGUGAGCGAUGAAGUAUUUCGGUAUGUAAAGCUCUAUCAGCAGGGAAGAAAAUGACGGUACCUGACUAAGAAGCCCCGGCUAACUACGUGCCAGCAGCCGCGGUAAUACGUGGGGGGCAAGCGUUAUCCGGAUUUACUGGGUGUAAAGGGAGCGUAGACGGCUGUGCAAGCCAGAUGUGAAAGCCCGGGGCUCAACCCCGGGACUGCAUUUGGAACUGUGUGGCUGGAGUGUCGGAGAGGCAGGCGGAAUUCCUAGUGUAGCGGUGAAAUGCGUAGAUAUUAGGAGGAACACCAGUGGCGAAGGCGGCUUACUGGACUGUAACUGACGUUGAGGCUCGAAAGCGUGGGGAGCAAACAGGAUUAGAUACCCUAGUAA